GGAUGUAGCCGAGUGGAUAAAGGCGCUUGACUUGGGCUCAAGAGAUCGCAGGUUCGAUUCCUGUCAUU
This 68-nucleotide transfer RNA is filed under the name bovine gut metagenome. It matches the Rfam family "tRNA", at positions 5 to 66 of the family's 71-position model. Rfam says of the family: Transfer RNA (tRNA) molecules are approximately 80 nucleotides in length. Their secondary structure includes four short double-helical elements and three loops (D, anti-codon, and T loops). Further hydrogen bonds mediate the characteristic L-shaped molecular structure. tRNAs have two regions of fundamental functional importance: the anti-codon, which is responsible for specific mRNA codon recognition, and the 3' end, to which the tRNAs corresponding amino acid is attached (by aminoacyl-tRNA synthetases). tRNAs cope with the degeneracy of the genetic code in two manners: having more than one tRNA (with a specific anti-codon) for a particular amino acid; and 'wobble' base-pairing, i.e. permitting non-standard base-pairing at the 3rd anti-codon position. The record is from RNAcentral.